ACUUUAAUGAAGAGUUGCGACUUUUAUGAAGAAUUGUGACUUUUAUGAAAGUUUGCGUCUUUUAUGAAAAGUUGUGACUUUUAUGAAAAGUUACAACUUUUAUGAAAGGUUGUGACCUUUUCGAUAAAACACAAAAAAAAAUUGUUCACACUACCUUUUGUUUUCUAUAAAUAGACUUCCUCUCAUUUUAAAACAACGAAAAUUUUGAUUUUCUUUUUCUUCUUCUGGAUAGUUAAAUAAUUGUGUACUUUGCUCUUGUUGAAUGACUCAUUGACACUAUUUUUUUGUAUCAAUAUACUGGUGAAUAGAAUCGUUCUUUCCUGAGAGGAUCUAUUCCUUUAAAUCUCGGGUACUAGGGGAAAUAAUUUCCUUAAAGGGACACUGUGCAUUCACUGGGCUUGAUUUUUUCCAUUAUGUUUCAUUGUAUUGUUACAAAUCCUGGUAUGUUUUUACAAUCAUUAAUUUAUGCUUAUAUUAUUAAUUGUUAUUUUUGAGUA
This 497-nucleotide long non-coding RNA is filed under the name Solanum tuberosum (potato). RNAcentral describes it as "long non-coding RNA (STUB_LNC004487)". The record is from RNAcentral. Lineage: Eukaryota; Viridiplantae; Streptophyta; Magnoliopsida; Solanales; Solanaceae.